This 223-nucleotide unclassified non-coding RNA is filed under the name Hevea brasiliensis (rubber tree). The record is from RNAcentral. Lineage: Eukaryota; Viridiplantae; Streptophyta; Magnoliopsida; Malpighiales; Euphorbiaceae.
CAAAUGUUGACAAAGCAGCCCAACCCGAUGGAGCCACAAAGAGGCCCGGUGAUGGUACUUCUGAGUCACAGUAUUGGAGGUAUGAUGUAUCCAAGAAAAAGCAGAAACAUGGAGAUGGUGGUGGUGACAGACUCUGCUUUAAAUUUGCCUCUUCUGGCUCUUGUCCAAGAGGAAACCAGUGCCAUUUUAGACAUGAUGAAGAGGCUUCAGAACAAUACUCAAG